AACUAUGUGUGAUAAAGGAUUUAUUAAAGCAAAGUCUGAUAAUAUUCCUGAUGUUGAUAUAUUUAUGAUCACCGAUUUUUAAAAAAAUGACGUUUGGUUUAAUUCUGCUGAAGUUCGAGGUGCCAAGGCAUCAAGAGCAUCGCGUGAGAGUUACGGCGACAAAGCUAUAGGUUAUGUUCAACUAAGUCGUAAAAAUAAUAUUUGUAUUGUAAAAGGACGGGUAUGUCCAGAACACCGAGUUCGGAGUAAAGCUUAUUCAGUUACUUUAACUAUUAAUGAAAAUUCCAAAAAAAUUCAGGAUGUUCAAUGCCAUGACUGUGCAGCUUCAGCAGGUAAUUUAUACUCCUAUUAAAUAAAGCUUACAAUUUAUCGUUACAUCGAUUAAUUUUGGAUUUUAAUCAAAAUAUUUAUUUGCGAGUAGAGAAAUUUUUGGAAUUCGCUAAAACUGAAAUGGCAGAAGAUGUGUGUGAAGAAGCUGAACAGCUAACCAAGCAGCAAAGUGAAUGUGCAAUUUGGCAUGAACUUCGUUAUGGACGCAUUACUGCAUCAAAAUUUUAUGAAGCUGCUCAUUGUAAAAGUAAUAAUGGUUCGCUAGUUCAACAAAUCAUUGGUGCAAGUAAAGUUCUUGAGACAAGCGCUAUGACACGAGGAAAGAGUCAGAAAAAGAUGUAAUCGAAGUUCUUGAGAAAGAAUUAAGAGUAAAAAUAACGCGUCCGGGGAUGUAUCUUGUACCUAGUCAUCCGAUUUUUGCAGCAUCUCCUGAUGGAAUGACAAGCAAUGCCAUUGUUGAAAUACAAUGUCCCACCAGUCAUAAAUCAUUGGAUAUUUUUCUACCAAAAGGUAAAGUCAGUUUGAAGUGUAAUGCCCAAAUGCAACUACAAAUGUUAUUGACUGGUAAUAAAGAAGGUAUCUUUUGUGUUACUGAUCCACAUUUUGAAGAAAAUAAAACUAUUUACAUUAAAAAAUUAAAAUAUGAUUAUGCACAUACACAAGCUCUAAUUAAAAAUAGUCAAGUAUUUUGGCCCAAAAUAUAUUUCCAAAAUUAUUAAAAACUGUACAAAGUUAAUUAAUGUUAUUCAUUAGAUUUUGAUGUAUUUUUACAAUAAAUAAUAAAUAUAUUAGCUUAAAUAGAACAGACACCUAGUAAUUCAUUUUAUAAUACAAAUACUCUUAAACUUAAGUAGAAAUUAUAGGCGCUUGUAAAUUUACAAGUGCUGCAGCAAUGGCAACAAUAUUAUCUGUGAAAGGUAACAUAUUAUGAUUAACAACCGCAUGAGGUUUUAGAAAAUCAAGCUCUCUUAUUCUUCCAAUAACGCGUUCUAUAUGAAUACGUAGAGCAGCGAUUCGUUUGCCUUGUAACACGUCAGAUUGUGAUAAUUUUACUCCAGAAUUAACUGAAGGUGGUCGAUUUAAUUCAAUAUUUUUAUCGUCAAGAAGUUGAACAAUGUUUUUGAAUCCUCGAUCGGCCAUGACAGCACAAGCCUCGGGUAGCUCUUCCAAUAAUCCGCUUUCUUGGAAUAAUAGUUCAUCUGAAAUUCGACCUCCAAAUCCUUUUGAUAUGAAGUUUAUAAAGCCAUCUGGUGUACAAGAUAUUAAAUAUUUUAAAGUAUUACAUUUUUUAUACUCUGACCAAGUUAAAGAUUGGGUCUCUGGAUCACUUGGUUUUUCAAUUUGUAUCUCAAAUGCAUCAAUAAUAGCAAUCACAUGAUUAUAUGAAGUUCUAAAUGGUAUCGGUAGUAUUUUUUUAUAUUACUAGACUUCGGCAUAUAAACGAGUUUUUUUAAUAAAUGUGCCAAUACAGGAACUGUUUUAUUAAAAAUAAUACUAGCAUUGCUGAUACUCAUUCCAAACUGUUCACUUAAUCUUUCCAAAGUAUCUUGGCGUCGUAUUUUCAUCAAAGAUAAUUUUAUAUUGGUAAUAUCAAUAUUAGAUAUUACACUAAUACGUUCUAGCACCACAUUCCAUUCUUGAGGAACAUCAGUAUACGCUUUUAAAUUAUCGUUAAUUAAGUAAUUUGUGACUUUCAAAAUUUAAAAUUUUUUCACAGGAGAUUGAAGGCUGCUAGAAUCCAUAGUACUUGAACCGGUAUUUUCGGAAGGUUCAUAAAUAUCUUGUGAACUAUUUGAAUUUGUAAAACUACUAGAUGACAAACUUUUCUGAGUAUCUUCCAAUAAAUUUGGAUGCAAUUUUCGACGCAACGGUUUUAUUGGAGAUGUUGCAGUACUUAUGCUACCAGUUUUAAUUGGUGAGCAGGAUUCAUCGAUUCCGAUUUAUAAAAUUUUACAUUGAACUGAUACGCUACGAUACUUAAGACGACUAUUUACUUGUACAGCAACAGUACGGUGGUUAAUAUUAGUUUGUGUUUCAACAGUGACCUUUUGGUCAGGUGUUUCAUUUGAAGGAGCAAAAUCUACUCCAAUAUUUUCAACAGUACUGGCUGAUACGGCAUCAAUGUUUGGUUCUGGAGGAUUACCAAUUUCCAUAUUUUCUGAAGAUUCAUUUAAAAUUUCUUGAAUUAUUUGUUGUCUCCGUCGUUUUUCUGCAGCUGGUCUAAGAACCGUUGUAGUGCCUUGUCUUUUACGAUUAGGUUGACAGUCAAACUUGUGCGGUACCACAUCAAUUUUAAUCUUUGCUUUACCUCCCAUCGUUGUAUAAUAAAUGUAAUUUUCCAUGUCAUCUUUCAGCUAGAAAAAAAAAACAGAAAUCAUAAG
Molecule: long non-coding RNA, 2711 nt
Organism: Diorhabda carinulata
Lineage: Eukaryota; Metazoa; Arthropoda; Insecta; Coleoptera; Chrysomelidae
Exons: 2
Source: RefSeq, a predicted model, not a curated record